UUCAUCCACGUAUCACUCUACAAUUCACCACUUUUUAAGCCAAUCAUCUUACAUGCAAUUUUCCCUUCCCGGAAUAAAUUUGCCAAAAACUCAAGAUCAUUCACAGAAAAUCCAAUUGUCAUCAGCUUUCUUUCCUCUCCAUAAAUUCAUCCGAAUCACAAGCAUCCCUUCAAGAAAGUUUUGUCCCAAAAAUAAAAAAUCUGAUACACCAUACAUCUCAAAACAAAGAACACAGCCUGUCCACUUGAUAGAAGGUUUUAGCACUGGUUUUACAAGAAGAGAAUUGUGUAAAUUUUAUCUACAGGCUUGUCCUAUCAAGGUUGAGCGGCAGGUGGUGUCGUGCGAGGCUGAGGGAGGAUGUUGCUGUAGUUUCAUAUAAUAAUUUUCGCUGCCAUAAUAUUCACUUAGGUGGAUAUCUUUUGAGAUUGACUCUUUAAAUACUCUUAGCCUAAUUAUUAUGAACUCUUUUGGCAAUCACAUUUCUAGCAAUUGAA
Long non-coding RNA from Salvia miltiorrhiza (redroot sage), 494 nucleotides. RefSeq lists it as uncharacterized. The record is from RefSeq and is a predicted model, not a curated record. The transcript has 3 exons. Lineage: Eukaryota; Viridiplantae; Streptophyta; Magnoliopsida; Lamiales; Lamiaceae.